UCCUCAGUAGCUCAGUGGUUAGAGCACUCGGCUGUUAACCGAGGGGUCGUUGGUUCAACCCCAACCUGAGGAU
Molecule: transfer RNA, 73 nt
Filed under: Apicomplexa sp. corallicolid ex Leiopathes glaberrima
Lineage: Eukaryota; Apicomplexa
Description: tRNA-Asn
Rfam family: tRNA
About the family: Transfer RNA (tRNA) molecules are approximately 80 nucleotides in length. Their secondary structure includes four short double-helical elements and three loops (D, anti-codon, and T loops). Further hydrogen bonds mediate the characteristic L-shaped molecular structure. tRNAs have two regions of fundamental functional importance: the anti-codon, which is responsible for specific mRNA codon recognition, and the 3' end, to which the tRNAs corresponding amino acid is attached (by aminoacyl-tRNA synthetases). tRNAs cope with the degeneracy of the genetic code in two manners: having more than one tRNA (with a specific anti-codon) for a particular amino acid; and 'wobble' base-pairing, i.e. permitting non-standard base-pairing at the 3rd anti-codon position.
Source: RNAcentral